GAUGAACGCUGGCGGCGUGCUUAACACAUGCAAGUCGAACGGAAAGGCUCCUGCUUGCAGGGGUACUCGAGUGGCGAACGGGUGAGUAACACGUGGGUGAUCUGCCCUGCACUUCGGGAUAAGCCUGGGAAACUGGGUCUAAUACCGGAUAGGACGAUGGUUUGGAUGCCAUUGUGUAAAGUUUUUCGGUGUGGGUUGAGCUCGCGGCCUAUCAGCUUGUUGGUGAGGUAAUUGCCUACCAAGGCGUCGACGGGUAGCCGGCCUGAGAGGGUGUACGGCCACAAUGGGACUGCGAGACGGACCAGAAUCCUACGGGAGGCAGCAGUGGGGAGUAUUGCACAAUGGGCGCAAGCCUGAUGCAGCGACGCCGCGUGGGUGAUGACGGCCUUCGGGUUGUAAACACCUUUCGCUAGGGACGAAGCGCAAGUGACGGUACCUGGAGAAGAAGCAACGGCUAACUACGUG
This 465-nucleotide ribosomal RNA is filed under the name uncultured bacterium. Its description in RNAcentral is "partial 16S ribosomal RNA". It matches the Rfam family "Bacterial small subunit ribosomal RNA", at positions 28 to 507 of the family's 1533-position model. The record is from RNAcentral.